ACCUGGUUGAUUCUGCCAGUAGUCAUAUGCUUGUCUCAAAGAUUAAGCCAUGCAUGUCUAAGUAUACGCAAAUUAUACUGUGAAACUGCGAAUGGCUCAUUAAAUCAGUUAUAGUUUAUUUGAUGUUUCUUGCUACAUGGAUAACUGUGGUAAUUCUAGAGCUAAUACAUGCGUAAAAAGCCCCGACUUCGGAAGGGGUGUAUUUAUUAGAUAAAAACCAUCCUCCUCGGAGUUUGGCGAUUCAUAAUAACUUCUCGAAUCGCACGGCCUUGUGCUGGCGAUGCUUCAUUCAAAUAUCUGCCCUAUCAACUGUCGAUGGUAGGAUAGAGGCCUACCAUGGUUGCAACGGGUAACGGGGAAUAAGGGUUCGAUUCCGGAGAGGGAGCCUGAGAAACGGCUACCACAUCCAAGGAAGGCAGCAGGCGCGCAAAUUACCCAAUCCCGACACGGGGAGGUAGUGACAAUAAAUAACAAUGCAGGGCCCUUUUGGGUCUUGUAAUUGGAAUGAGUACAAUUUAAAUCCCUUAACGAGGAACGAUUGGAGGGCAAGUCUGGUGCCAGCAGCCGCGGUAAUUCCAGCUCCAAUAGCAUAUAUUAAAGUUCCCUCCGGGGCCUAAGUAAUUAUUUUUGUCAGUUUUAUUCACUUAGGAGGACUAAGGUCCAGAAGCGUUCACUUUAUCUUAAAUCUAACAAUGCAGAAACUUUUCCAUUCCUUUUUAGGAGUCCUUGAAGCGGUCCGGGGGGCUUAGUACGGGGUAAAACCCAGAAGCCAAAGGAGAAAAACUGUCUUUUAUAAAUCACGGGGGAAUUCUUUAGCUUGAGCCUUAACCCCUCAAGUUUCAUAAUGCCUCCAAAAAUUGCCAAUGCGACACAAGUCGCUUCUGAAGGAACUCCAGCGGAGACAACCUCGGACAGACCGGUUUCCAAGCCAGAGAGCCCGAUCAAAGCUGGGAGCCCUUCAAAUGUAAGAGGGAAUAAGAGAAAGCUGAGUGGGUUGGGAAACCCCCAGCUUAAGAAAGGCAAGAACCAGUUGAUGCCGGAUUCAGAUUCAUCUACUUCCAGCUCCUCUGACUCUGAUGUCCCCCAAAUAAUUGAGCCUUCUAAAGAUAUAGAUCAGCUCUCAAAAUCGGCGAGCAGUCUGGAGGUGAGGGAUGCAGCAAUGGAGCCAGCGCCAGCUAGCUCCACAGCCUCCCCUUCAGCUGAAACCUCGUCAGCAACUAGCAAGUCGCACGGUGCCCUCCCCCCGAAGGAUCCUUUUCCGGAGGUACUGGACUGGGCUGCCAAGGUGGAGAUUGCAGAGGCUAAAAAGGCCCACAACGAAGCCUGGAAAACCGAGUGCAAAGACAAGGUGGCACAGAAGAAGCAGGCCAAGCUUGCCCAACUCGAUGCGGAUAGAUUGGCUGGAAAGCCUCCACUGCGUGGGUGUGUCCAGUGCAAAACCCAUCAUUGGGAACAGGACCCUUGCCCGCCAAAGCCUAUGGCCUCCCCUGAAAAGGAGGCCUCCAAAAUCAAGUCCUCAGGUGUUGGCAAACGCAAGCACACUGGGGCAGAAAUUGAGAAUUCAGGAGGGCCCUCUAAAAAGGGUAAGAGUUGACGCAGGGCAUGCGUGCGGCGGGGCUGGUACCCAUCCGUGCAUCCAACCAAAGUGGAGCCUCCACUUUGGAGUGGUUGAUCCGCUUUGGAUCUUCUUCGGAUGCUGAGGAAGCCGUGGACAAGCCUUUCCACCUGCGGGGGGUUGAGGUUCGCCUCACCCCCUUUUUUAAGGAGGGGCUGCGGACCUUCAUCUGCAAGACCUUGGGGCCUGUUUCAAUGGCAGCUCUGAUAAAGAGCAUCCACAAAUAUGCCCCCAAAGCUAAAUUUGGACUUCGAAGGGAAGAGGCCUUCGGUUGCAUGGGUGACAAAUGUCUUCUAACAUUUGGACAGCCACAGAACUUCAACCGCAUCUCCCUUGUCUUUAACACAGCACUAUGGGUUGCAAUUGUUUAGUUCCUGUACCGAGCCCUUCUGGCUCUGAAAACUUUUACAAUAACUUGAUUGCGUAAAUAUCAUUUGAAGAUGUCUAAGUCCAUACUCAUUGCAUCUGUGAAUGUCAGGUCUGUGUUGAGUGAAGUCCGUUUCCGUGAAGUUCUACAUUUUUUCUGGAUGUCAAAAAUUGACAUCCUCUGUAUACAGGAAGCCCGCCUUUCUAGAGAUUGAGCAGAACGUCUUAAUGCUACAUUCCCCGGCAUGCGACUGCUCACUAACCCGAACAAUACUGAUGGCAAUGGAGGAGUGGCAAUAAUGGUAAAUCCCGAAACAGUAGAUUUGCCUACUGCCACUUCCCCCUCUGUGUUAGGAAAUUUUUCUUCUGAACUAUACCUUUAUGAUGCUGAGGGCCGUCUCCUUGUUACAAAUCUAAGUUGCAAAAAUCAACAACUAAAUGUCGCUUGUGUUUAUGUCCCGGCUAAUAGUACCCUUUGGGCCCUCUGGCUGGAAAAUACAACAAAUUUCCUAGUCUCAUUGGAAAGUCGAAUCUGGUGUGACCUUGUUGCAGGAGACUGGAACACUGUCAUUAACACUAUGGAUCACACUUCUCGAUGUCGACCUAACCUGCAAGAGAGACAUAG
This is a ribosomal RNA of Ustilago hordei, 2606 nucleotides long. Lineage: Eukaryota; Fungi; Basidiomycota; Ustilaginomycetes; Ustilaginales; Ustilaginaceae. The record is from RefSeq and is a predicted model, not a curated record.